Molecule: ribosomal RNA, 253 nt
Filed under: uncultured bacterium
Lineage: Bacteria
Description: partial 16S ribosomal RNA
Rfam family: Bacterial small subunit ribosomal RNA
Source: RNAcentral
UACGUAGGGGGCAAGCGUUGUCCGGAAUCAUUGGGCGUAAAGCGCGUGUAGGCGGCCAAGUAAGUCCGUUCUGAAAGCCCGGGGCUCAACCCCGGGAGGCGGAUGGAUACUGCUUGGCUCGAGUCCGGAAGAGGCGAGUGGAAUUCUCGGUGUAGCGGUGAAAUGCGCAGAUAUCGGGAGGAACACCAGUAGCGAAGGCGGCUCGCUGGGCCAUUCCUGACGCUGAGACGCGAAAGCUAGGGGAGCGAACAGG